GCAUAUCAAUAAGCGGAGGAAAAGAAACUAACAAGGAUUCCCCUAGUAACUGCGAGUGAAGCGGGAAAAGCUCAAAUUUAAAAUCUGGUGGUCUUCGGCCAUCCGAGUUGUAAUCUAGAGAAGUGUUACCCGCGUCGGACCGUGUACAAGUCUCCUGGAAUGGAGCGUCAUAGAGGGUGAGAAUCCCGUCUUUGACACGGACUACCGAGGCUUUGUGGUGCGCUCUCAAAGAGUCGAGUUGUUUGGGAAUGCAGCUCAAAAUGGGUGGUAAAUUCCAUCUAAAGCUAAAUAUUGGCGAGAGACCGAUAGCGAACAAGUACCGUGAGGGAAAGAUGAAAAGAACUUUGGAAAGAGAGUUAAACAGUACGUGAAAUUGCUGAAAGGGAAACGCUUGAAGUCAGUCGCGUUGGCCGGAAAUCAGCCUUCCUUUUGGUUGGUGUACUUUCUGGUUGACGGGCCAGCAUCAGUUUUGACCGAUGGAUAAAGUUGUGAGGAAUGUGGCAUCUUCGGGUGUGUUAUAGCCUCGCUUCGUAUACGUCGGUUGGGACUGAGGAACUCAGCACGCCGCAAGGCCGGGGUUCGCCCACGUUCGUGCUUAGGAUGCUGGCAUAAUGGCUUUAAUCGACCCGUCUUGAAACACGGACCAAGGAGUCUAACAUGCCUGCGAGUGUUUGGGUGGAAAACCCGAGCGCGUAAUGAAAGUGAAAGUCGAGAUCCUUGUCAUGGGGAGCAUCGACGCCCGGACCAGACGUUUUCUGACGGUUCUGCGGUAGAGCAUGUAUGUUGGGACCCGAAAGAUGGUGAACUAUGCCUGAAUAGGGUGAAGCCAGAGGAAACUACUGGUGGAGGCUCGUAGCGAUUCUGACGUGCAAAUCGAUCGUCAAAUUUGGGUAUAGGGGGCGAAAGACUAAUCGAACCAUCUAGUAGCUGGUUCCUGCCGAAG
RNAcentral lists this ribosomal RNA (943 nucleotides) under Ephemerocybe heterosetulosa. RNAcentral's name for it is "LSU rRNA". It matches the Rfam family "Eukaryotic large subunit ribosomal RNA", at positions 38 to 966 of the family's 3401-position model. Lineage: Eukaryota; Fungi; Basidiomycota; Agaricomycetes; Agaricales; Psathyrellaceae. The record is from RNAcentral.